RNAcentral lists this ribosomal RNA (324 nucleotides) under uncultured eukaryote. Its description in RNAcentral is "partial 18S ribosomal RNA". It matches the Rfam family "Eukaryotic small subunit ribosomal RNA", at positions 1470 to 1796 of the family's 1831-position model. The record is from RNAcentral.
CCCUUAGAUGUUCUGGGCCGCACGCGCGCUACACUGAUGAACGCAACGAGACGACCUGUACCGAAAGGCAUGGGUAAACUUGUGAAAGUUCAUCGUGAUGGGGAUAGAUUAUUGCAAUUAUUAAUCUUCAACGAGGAAUUCCUAGUAAGCGCGAGUCAUCAGCUCGCGUUGAUUACGUCCCUGCCCUUUGUACACACCGCCCGUCGCUCCUACCGAUUGAAUGGUCCGGUGAAUACUUCGGACCGGUUACUUGGUUGGUUCGCUAACCUUGUGACUGGAAAGUCGAGUGAACCUUAUUGCUUAGAGGAAGGAGAAGUCGUAACA